This 721-nucleotide long non-coding RNA is filed under the name Pan troglodytes (chimpanzee). RNAcentral's name for it is "long non-coding RNA NONPTRT012569". Lineage: Eukaryota; Metazoa; Chordata; Mammalia; Primates; Hominidae. The record is from RNAcentral.
GAACAUUGAGUUCUAAUAUCCAAGGGCAGAGAAAAAUGGUAUCCCAGCUCCGGAAGACAGAGAGCAAACUAUUUCACAUUGUCUCUGCCUUUUUAUUGUAUACAGGUGCUCAGCUGAUUGGAUGAUACCUGCUCCCAUUGGGAUCUCACUAUGUUACUUGGGCUGGUCUCGAACUCCUGGCUUCAAGUGAUCCUCCCAUCUCAAUCUCCCAAAGUGCUGUGACUACAGGUGUGAGUCACUGUGCCACGCCCAACCUGAAACCUUGACUGCAACUCACCUCAGAGACUGCGACACACUGGCUAUGCCCCAAGUCAUAUGUGGAGAGGGCAGCUUUUCUCAUCCAGCUUGCCAGGUUUCUUGAAGAAAACAUUAGAUUAAAUCUGUUGUCUGAAAACUUGAACCAGAAGCCAAGAUGAAGAAAAGGAUUCCUGGGGGAAGAAAAGAACAGGUCCCAAAACCCAGGAGUUCAGGCAUACAGAGCAGUUUUCAAGCCUCUAUAGAAGUCAUCUUACAGCGAGUCUGAGCCAGUGGAAUGCAGUUAUAGUGAUAUGUGUGCUCCCAAGGUAGCCCUCAAUGCUCCUACUCGGAAAUACUCAUAUGUUGCUUCUGACUUGAAGCAGAGGAACUCACAACCUAAGAAGCCACAGGCUUGAAGAUGGCAGAGCACAAGAUGGCAGAAGUUUGGAAUGAAUUACUACUUGAAAGAGAAGCUCUUAUUUAC